GCCAGUGUGGUAUAGUGGUUUGAGCAUUGGACUAGGACUCUGGGAAACCAGGGUACAAAUCCCUGCUCAGCCA
This is a non-coding RNA of Phrynosoma platyrhinos (Desert horned lizard), 73 nucleotides long. The record is from the annotation of a GenBank genome assembly. NCBI's taxonomy places the organism in Eukaryota, Metazoa, Chordata, Lepidosauria, Squamata, Phrynosomatidae.